UUCCUGAUUGUUCAACACUGAAGCUGGUCUCCUGUAGGGGAUGUUGCCCCCUAGAAAGGUCCUGGGCCCUCCAACCUCCCUCCUCCUCGCUCAUCCACUUGCUGCCUGCAGCCGCUGAUGGCACUGCAGUACCUGCUGCCAGGGCUCUCCUGCCUUGCCCCGCAGGCGGGGAAUCCCUGAAGCUGGGUGGGAACCCUCCACCGAUUCCUGGCUCCUUGGCUUCUCGCCCCGCCCAGUCAGCACACCUCAGUCGAGUGUGUCCUAAGAGGGGGUCCUGGAGAGGAGAGGUCCACACCCACUCGAAGGACUGCUUGGCUGCUUUGACAGCGCGGCCAUUAAGGACCAGGGCGGGAGCACUUGCUCAGGUCUGGAUCCGCGCUCUGAGCGCAGCCAAUGGUCUAACGCAUAGCCGGUUGAUGGUUAGCGAAAGGACCAAUCCGCAAUCUCUCCACCCGGUGAACAAAGGAAUCAAAUGAUGGUCUGCUUUCGGUUUUUCAAAAAGACGCGGAUUCCAGCCGCUGGAGGGAAGGUACCCUAGCGCGAAAAGCCGGUGUCUCUCUCUAUUGCUUUGGAGGCUGUCCUGGAACUUGCUCUGUAGACCAGGCUGGCCUUGCACUCAAAGAGAUCUUCCUGCCUCUGCCUCCCCAGUGCUGGGAUUAAAGGCGUGUGCCACCAACACCUGAGAACCCAACCUUUUUAUGCGUAAAGUAAGAGUAAUAAUACCUAUCUAAGCAAGCUUUGGAGAAUUGUGAGAGGCAGCUUGUGGAAAGCACUGAGAAGAUGGCCUUGCUGGUCACUGUCUGUCUACGUACUCUUUGUGUCUUUCUAACUGAAGUGUUAGGGUCUGCCAUAUGCUAGGGUUGUUCUGAUGGUGACUUACUGAAGACACAUGAGCUUGCUGCCCUCGGUGGUGCUUGUCCUUCUAGUGAUAUUUAGCACAGCUGGUGGUUCAGUGUUGCAUUUAAACUGCUCUUUCUCUUUUGCAGAAACAGCAGGGGAAAAUGCCACUUCAAACAUAAGCACUAAAACAGUAACUAAUGCUCCUGUCAUUUUGGAUAAACUUUUCAGAUUUCAUUUUUAAAAUUUAAAUUAAAAAUGAUCUUAUUUUACAUACCAAUCCCAGUUCCCCUCUCCCUCCAGCCCUACCAC
Molecule: long non-coding RNA, 1149 nt
Filed under: Cricetulus griseus (Chinese hamster)
Lineage: Eukaryota; Metazoa; Chordata; Mammalia; Rodentia; Cricetidae
Description: lncRNA (ENSCGRG00015036018.1)
Source: RNAcentral